Molecule: unclassified non-coding RNA, 352 nt
Filed under: soil metagenome
Description: partial contains 5.8S ribosomal RNA, internal transcribed spacer 2, and large subunit ribosomal RNA
Rfam family: 5.8S ribosomal RNA (bases 1-120)
Source: RNAcentral
GAUGAAGAACGUAGCGAAAUGCGAUAAGUAAUGUGAAUUGCAGAAUUCAGUGAAUCAUCGAAUCUUUGAACACACAUUGCGCCCGCCAGUAUUCUGGCGGGCAUGCCUGUUCGAGCGUCAUUUCAACCCUCAGGCCCCCAGUGCCUGGUGUUGGGGAUCGGCCCAGCCUUCCUGUAAGGCCGCCGGCCCCGAAAUCUAGUGGCGGUCUCGCUGUAGUCCUCCUCUGCGUAGUAGCACACCCUCGCAGUUGGAACGCGGCGGUGGCCAUGCCGUUAAACACCCCACUUCUGAAAGUUGACCUCGGAUCAGGUAGGAAUACCCGCUGAACUUAAGCAUAUCAAUAAGCGGAGGA